RNAcentral lists this ribosomal RNA (468 nucleotides) under uncultured bacterium. RNAcentral's name for it is "partial 16S ribosomal RNA". It matches the Rfam family "Bacterial small subunit ribosomal RNA", at positions 28 to 507 of the family's 1533-position model. The record is from RNAcentral.
GACGAACGCUGGCGGCGUGCUUAACACAUGCCAGUCGAACGGAAAGGCCCUGCUUUUGUGGGGUGCUCGAGUGGCGAACGGGUGAGUAACACGUGAGUAACCUGCCCUUGACUUUGGGAUAACUUCAGGAAACUGGGGCUAAUACCGGAUAGGAGCUCCUGCUGCAUGGUGGGGGUUGGAAAGUUUCGGCGGUUGGGGAUGGACUCGCGGCUUAUCAGCUUGUUGGUGGGGUAGUGGCUUACCAAGGCUUUGACGGGUAGCCGGCCUGAGAGGGUGACCGGCCACAUUGGGACUGAGAUACGGCCCAGACUCCUACGGGAGGCAGCAGUGGGGAAUAUUGCACAAUGGGCGGAAGCCUGAUGCAGCAACGCCGCGUGCGGGAUGACGGCCUUCGGGUUGUAAACCGCUUUCGCCUGUGACGAAGCGUUAGUGACGGUAAUGGGUAAAGAAGCACCGGCUAACUACGUG